UGCAGCAUUCUUUAUCAGAGGACUACA
This 27-nucleotide non-coding RNA is filed under the name Rattus norvegicus (Norway rat). The record is from RNAcentral. Lineage: Eukaryota; Metazoa; Chordata; Mammalia; Rodentia; Muridae.